AUCGAGGAACACGACUUCCAAACGAAACUUCGCAAUGUGAUCAAAUUUUUGAAAGAUGGCGACAAGGUUAAGUGCUCGGUUCGCUUCCGCGGACGGGAAAUUACCCAUGCCGACAUCGGGAAGAAAAUUCUCGACCGCGUCAAAGAUGAGGUUGCGGAAAUCUCGAAUGUUGAACGAGUUCCGAAACUGGAAGGACGCAGUAUGAUCAUGAUCCUGGCACCGAAAAACUAAUCGUUUGUUUUCUAUAUAUGAUCGUUCCGAAUGCGGAAUGACCUGAAAGAGAAAACGGGCGUUCACAAACUUUGAGGGGGAAGUACAAUGCCUA
Molecule: unclassified non-coding RNA, 325 nt
Filed under: Paenibacillus barengoltzii J12
Lineage: Bacteria; Bacillati; Bacillota; Bacilli; Caryophanales; Paenibacillaceae
Description: Long range pseudoknot
Source: RNAcentral